GCCUUCGUGGUGUAGUGGUCAGCACGCUCGACGCGUAACCGAGAGGUCCGUGGUUCGAUUCUCGGCAAAGGCA
This is a non-coding RNA of Stegodyphus mimosarum, 73 nucleotides long. Lineage: Eukaryota; Metazoa; Arthropoda; Arachnida; Araneae; Eresidae. The record is from Rfam.